UACGGGGGGAGCAAGCGUUGUUCGGAUUUACUGGGCGUAAAGGGCGCGUAGGCGGCGUGACAAGUCACUUGUGAAAUCUCAGGGCUCAACCCUGAAAUUGCGACCAAUACUGGUCGACUAGAGUGCAAGAGAGGAAGGUGGAAUUCCCGGUGUAGUAGUGAAAUGCGUAGAUAUCGGGAGGAACACCAGUGGCGAAGGCGGCCUUCUGGCUUGCAACUGACGCUGUAGCGCGAAAGCGUGGGGAGCGAACCGG
This 253-nucleotide ribosomal RNA is filed under the name uncultured bacterium. RNAcentral describes it as "partial 16S ribosomal RNA". It matches the Rfam family "Bacterial small subunit ribosomal RNA", at positions 524 to 776 of the family's 1533-position model. The record is from RNAcentral.